GGAAAAAAUGAGGCGAAGCGGAUGAGGCUCUACUUAGCCACAAGAAAUGCUACACCAUUUUAAAGGCAUAGCACAAAUCCAAGAUCACAUGGGAGUUUUGUCAGUGACUUUUGAAAAGAUUGCUAACAUGGCUAAUCAUUUUAUUUAGUCUCUGGAGAAUGGUGUUGGUACAACCAAUUGAGGAGUUGUGUUUUAAAAAAGAGCUUUUUUAGAAAUAAUGGAGUUUAAAAUGUUGACCCUGCUGACCAUUUUUUCCCACGUUAAUGGCCAUUAUUUUUAUUUGUUUUUAGCUUUGAUUAGCAUGCAAUCUGCAAUAAAAAAUGGUUUUUACUGUUUACAGAUAUUUCAGCCAGGAUGACCGGCAAUCACAAACCAAAACAUGGAGACUGAACUAAAAAAGAUUUGGCAUCAGCACUCAGGAGAUGAGCUUGGGAAGCUGUCCUCCUGUCCUGGGUGCUCCUCUGAUGAAGACAUCCUCCCUGAGAUCUGCUCUCUCUCUCUGACAGAGGCAGUGAAGAAGGUGGGACUAAAGUCUGCACGUUCUCGCCCCUCCCCUCAGUGCUGUCUGUCCUUGGAUCCCUCUCUUACAUCUCUGUUUUCGUUUUUCCUCGCUCCCUUCUUCCCUUCAGAGCACAUUCUCUCGUUUUUGCAGAGAGGUGGCAGCAUUUUAAACCUUGUUAAUCUAAAAAAAA
Austrofundulus limnaeus is the source of this 692-nucleotide long non-coding RNA. RefSeq lists it as uncharacterized. The transcript is spliced from 2 exons. NCBI's taxonomy places the organism in Eukaryota, Metazoa, Chordata, Actinopteri, Cyprinodontiformes, Rivulidae. The record is from RefSeq and is a predicted model, not a curated record.